Molecule: ribosomal RNA, 253 nt
Filed under: uncultured bacterium
Lineage: Bacteria
Description: partial 16S ribosomal RNA
Rfam family: Bacterial small subunit ribosomal RNA
Source: RNAcentral
UACGUAGGGGGCUAGCGUUGUCCGGAAUCAUUGGGCGUAAAGAGCGUGUAGGCGGCUUGGUAAGUCCGCUGUGAAGGUCCAGGGCUCAACCCUGGAAUGCCAGUGGAAACUGCCGAGCUAGAGUCCGGAAGAGGCGAGUGGAAUUCCUGGUGUAGCGGUGAAAUGCGCAGAUAUCAGGAGGAACACCAACGGCGAAGGCAGCUCGCUGGGACGGUACUGACGCUAAGGCGCGAAAGCGUGGGGAGCGAACAGG